CAGCCGCCGCGGGAAUACGAAGGGGGCUAGCGUUGUUCGGAUUUACUGGGCGUAAAGCGCACGUAGGCGGAUCCUUAAGUCAGAGGUGAAAUCCCAAGGCUCAACCUUGGAACUGCCUUUGAUACUGGAGAUCUCGAGUUCGGGAGAGGUGAGUGGAACUGCGAGUGUAGAGGUGAAAUUCGUAGAUAUUCGCAAGAACACCAGUGGCGAAGGCGGCUCACUGGCCCGAUACUGACGCUGAGGUGCGAAAGCGUGGGGAGCAAACAGGAUUAGAUACCCGCGUAGUCCCUGUCUCUUAUAC
This 301-nucleotide ribosomal RNA is filed under the name uncultured bacterium. RNAcentral's name for it is "partial 16S ribosomal RNA". It matches the Rfam family "Bacterial small subunit ribosomal RNA", at positions 509 to 807 of the family's 1533-position model. The record is from RNAcentral.